Molecule: small nuclear RNA, 107 nt
Organism: Lutra lutra (Eurasian river otter)
Lineage: Eukaryota; Metazoa; Chordata; Mammalia; Carnivora; Mustelidae
Source: RefSeq, a predicted model, not a curated record
GUGCUCGCUUUGGCAGUACAUGUACUAAACUUUGAACAAUACAGAGGAGAUUAGCAUAGCCCCUGCAAAAGGAUGACAGGCAGAUUUGUGAAAUGUUCCAUAUAUAA